ACUUGAGGCAAAGACGUUCUCUUUGGAGAUACAAGCUGCGCCAUGUGAUGACAUUUUGGUCAAAGAUGGACUGCAUGCAUGAUGCUCAGCUGACUUGUAAGAUUGUGAUGGACACAGAGCCUGCCUGUGUGCCGUGUUAG
RNAcentral lists this long non-coding RNA (140 nucleotides) under Cavia porcellus (domestic guinea pig). RNAcentral's name for it is "lncRNA (ENSCPOG00000035100.1)". Lineage: Eukaryota; Metazoa; Chordata; Mammalia; Rodentia; Caviidae. The record is from RNAcentral.